UGGAAUGAUGGUGAUGUACAACCUCACCAGAGUACCAAUUGGAGGGCAAGUCUGGUGCCAGCAGCCGCGGUAAUUCCAGCUCCAAUAGCGUAUAUUAAACUUGUUGCAGUUAAAAAGCUCGUAGUUGUAUUUCAGCCUCGCGUUUUUUCCCUUUUGUUGGGUCUUUUCGCUGGCUUUUUUUUUACUUUGAGAAAAUUAGAGUGUUUCAAGCAGACUUUUGUCUUGAAUACUUCAGCAUGGAAUAAUAGAGUAGGACCUUGGUUCUAUUUUGUUGGUUUUGAGCCUUGGUAAUGGUUAAUAGGAACGGUUGGGGGCAUUCGUAUUUAACUGUCAGAGGUGAAAUUCUUAGAUUUGUUAAAGACGAACCACUGCGAAAGCAUUUGCCAAGGACGUUUUCAUUAAUCAAGAACGAAAGUUAGGGGAUCGAAGACGAUCAGAUACCGUCGUAGUCCUAACCAUAAA
RNAcentral lists this ribosomal RNA (462 nucleotides) under Babesia bigemina. Its description in RNAcentral is "SSU rRNA". It matches the Rfam family "Eukaryotic small subunit ribosomal RNA", at positions 510 to 1036 of the family's 1831-position model. The record is from RNAcentral. Lineage: Eukaryota; Apicomplexa; Aconoidasida; Piroplasmida; Babesiidae.